GAUGAACGCUGGCGGCGUGCCUAAUACAUGCAAGUCGAGCGAACAGACGAGGAGCUUGCUCCUUUGACGUUAGCGGCGGACGGGUGAGUAACACGUAGGUAACCUACCUAUAAGACUGGGAUAACUUCGGGAAACCGGGGCUAAUACCGGAUAAUAUUUCGAACCGCAUGGUUCGAUAGUGAAAGAUGGCUUUGCUAUCACUUAUAGAUGGACCUGCGCCGUAUUAGCUAGUUGGUAAGGUAACGGCUUACCAAGGCAACGAUACGUAGCCGACCUGAGAGGGUGAUCGGCCACACUGGAACUGAGACACGGUCCAGACUCCUACGGGAGGCAGCAGUAGGGAAUCUUCCGCAAUGGGCGAAAGCCUGACGGAGCAACGCCGCGUGAGUGAUGAAGGUCUUCGGAUCGUAAAACUCUGUUAUUAGGGAAGAACAAACGUGUAAGUAACUGUGCACGUCCUGACGGUACCUAAUCAGAAAGCCACGGCUAACUACGUG
RNAcentral lists this ribosomal RNA (497 nucleotides) under uncultured bacterium. RNAcentral describes it as "partial 16S ribosomal RNA". It matches the Rfam family "Bacterial small subunit ribosomal RNA", at positions 28 to 507 of the family's 1533-position model. The record is from RNAcentral.